GCAACUUGUGGUUGUUUCUCCACCCUGCCCCUGCAGGACUGCAUUUUAAGGAAAACACCAGCUCCUUGGUCUCCUCACCAUGGCUGCUCCUCCCCUGGUACCACCACUCAGGCUUAGCAGGGAAUUACCUGGUUACUACAGGGAUGAGAACCACAGACUCUGGAUGGUUGUAAGCCUGGGAUUUACUCCUGACCAUCCAACUCAUUACAGGCCUGGAGCCUUUAUCACUGUCAGAUUGUGGCAGGUGGAAGAAUGCUGCAAACAACUCCCAUCCCACUGCUUCUCAAGUUUGGCAUGUCUCCCCAGUAUGUGGCAGAAACAUUCUGUGUCUUCCUAUAAAGGGACAGAUUCAAUCUUCUGGGCAAUAGUGGAACAAGUCCAGGGUGGUGACAGACAAUGCCUGCUUCUAGAGAUGGAGAAAAUACUUGGGUGGUGACAGACAAUGCCUGCUUCUAGAGAUGGAGAACCUACUUGCAGGUAUGGAUGGGGACUCCAUGCCCUGUGGAUCUCUGAGCUGCCAAUGCUGGCUAGAAGUUGACCUGGUGCUGGGCAGAGGACUCUGUGCUCAGCGGCUUGAAGACACCAUGGGAUGUGUGCAGGAGCAUCUGGUGCACUUCUCCCACAGGCUCAGUACUUGGCUCCUAGAAGUGAUGCUGAC
Molecule: long non-coding RNA, 658 nt
Filed under: Cricetulus griseus (Chinese hamster)
Lineage: Eukaryota; Metazoa; Chordata; Mammalia; Rodentia; Cricetidae
Description: lncRNA (ENSCGRG00015015907.2)
Source: RNAcentral